AUUGAACGCUGGCGGCAGGCUUAACACACGCAAGUUGAGCGGGGGAAGGUAGCUUGCUACCGGACCUAGCGGCGGACGGGUGAGUAAUGCUUAGGAAUCUGCCUAUUAGUGGGGGACAACAUCUCGAAAGGGAUGCUAAUACCGCAUACGUUCUACGGGAAAAAGCGGGGGAUCUUCGGACCUUGCGCUAAUAGAUGAGCCUAAGUCGGAUUAGCUAGUUGGUGGGGUAAAGGCCUACCAAGGCGACGAUCUGUAGCGGGUCUGAGAGGAUGAUCCGCCACACUGGGACUGGGGCACGGCCCAGACUCCUACGGGAGGCAGCAGUGGGGAAUAUUGGACAAAGGGGGGAACCCUGAUCCAGCCAUGCCGCGUGUGUGAAGAAGGCCUUAUGGUUGUAAAGCACUUUAAGCGAGGAGGAGGCUACUCUAGUUAAUACCUAGGGAUAGUGGACGUUACUCGCAGAAUAAGCACCGGCUAACUCUGUGCCAGCCGCCGCGGUAA
Molecule: ribosomal RNA, 501 nt
Filed under: uncultured bacterium
Lineage: Bacteria
Description: partial 16S ribosomal RNA
Rfam family: Bacterial small subunit ribosomal RNA
Source: RNAcentral